UACGUAGGGUGCGAGCGUUAUCCGGAAUCAUUGGGUUUAAAGGGUCCGUAGGCGGGAAGAUAAGUCAGUGGUGAAAUCUCACAGCUCAACUGUGAAACUGCCAUUGAUACUGUCUUUCUUGAAUUCGAUCGAAGUGGGCGGAAUGUGACAUGUAGCGGUGAAAUGCUUAGAUAUGUCACAGAACACCGAUAGCGAAGGCAGCUCACUAGGUCUGGAUUGACGCUCAGGGACGAAAGCGUGGGGAGCAAACAGG
This 253-nucleotide ribosomal RNA is filed under the name uncultured bacterium. Its description in RNAcentral is "partial 16S ribosomal RNA". It matches the Rfam family "Bacterial small subunit ribosomal RNA", at positions 524 to 776 of the family's 1533-position model. The record is from RNAcentral.